ACCCAUAAAGUAGAAAGCACUACUAACAGCACUGGAGGGUGUAGUGUUUCCUACUUUAUGGAUG
Molecule: microRNA precursor, 64 nt
Organism: Cavia aperea (Brazilian guinea pig)
Lineage: Eukaryota; Metazoa; Chordata; Mammalia; Rodentia; Caviidae
Product: microRNA 142
Source: Ensembl